GAGCCAAUAAUUUGGAUGGCUGUGCCUUGAAGAAAUACAGUUAGUGUCAUUUCAUCAGGCCAUAGCUGUCCAAAUUGUUAGGUUCG
This is a non-coding RNA of Caenorhabditis brenneri, 86 nucleotides long. The record is from Rfam. NCBI's taxonomy places the organism in Eukaryota, Metazoa, Nematoda, Chromadorea, Rhabditida, Rhabditidae.